RNAcentral lists this non-coding RNA (116 nucleotides) under Kutzneria sp. 744. RNAcentral's name for it is "SAM (S-adenosyl methionine) riboswitch aptamer". It matches the Rfam family "SAM (S-adenosyl methionine) riboswitch aptamer". From Rfam's summary of the family: SAM-IV is a mRNA element that regulates gene expression via direct sensing of S-adenosylmethionine (SAM or AdoMet). SAM-IV riboswitches share conserved nucleotide positions with the previously described SAM-I riboswitches sequence analysis and molecular recognition experiments suggest that SAM-I and SAM-IV riboswitches share similar ligand binding sites, but have different scaffolds. The record is from Rfam by way of RNAcentral. RNAcentral also lists the same sequence under 1 other name. Lineage: Bacteria; Bacillati; Actinomycetota; Actinomycetes; Pseudonocardiales; Pseudonocardiaceae.
GGUCAUGAGUGCCAGCGUUCAGCCCCGGCUUGCUGGCCGGCAACCCCGGCGUUCGCGGGCGGGGUGCUCCGGGUGAGGACCGGGCUCGGCGCACCGGCGUCGGGCAAGCCGCGAAG